CCGCCCUUUAUGCAAGAAGAAAAAACAUGUUAACUACUAAUCUUACUUUAUGCUAAAUAAAAUGACCGUACCUGUGUUGGCCUUGGUAUAAAGUUCCAGUCUAGCAGAUUAAUUAUAAAGUUCUAGUCUAGCAAAUUGAUUAUACAAGGACAGUUUUGUUUGAUCAUAAUAGAGUCAUAAUUGGGUGAAUUAUAAAAUAAUAGAUUUAUUACUACACAUUUUUAUAUGCAAAACUAUUUUCGAAUUAUAUAUAGACUCAAUUAAAAUUAUAUAAAUAUUAUAUUAUGCAAAAAUAUUUUUGUUAUUUUAAAAGAUAUUUUUAAAAUAAAACCGUAGCGUUAGCACAUGCGUGUUAUACUAGUCUAUAUCUAUACCUAUCUAUAAAGAGCGAAAAUUUCAGUUUGCCAAAUAUUUUCUUCUGCCCCUAAUCCUGUCCGUGUUCGGUUACUGAUUCGCCUUCUGCGUCUAACGUUUCUAGAAGGGCAAAAACAAAAUAAAAAACAUUCUAGGGUUGCUAAUGCAAAAUCUCAUAUUACUCCGCUCUCGCCUCCGUAGGCCCAAUCAGCCCACAAUCGUUACGAUGGAAGGUAGAAAAAAAAUAAAAAAUUUUCUAGAAUUUCCAAUGUAAAAUCUCCAAUUUACUUUUAUUUUAUUUUUAAAAUCGGCUGAAAAUUAAUAAAUAUAUAGUAAUUCAUAGAAAAAUCUAAAAAUUAUAAAACAAAUUUUGUUCAUCUCUACAUAUGUAGAUCCAUGC
This 754-nucleotide long non-coding RNA is filed under the name Sorghum bicolor (sorghum). RNAcentral describes it as "long non-coding RNA (SBIC_LNC011841)". Lineage: Eukaryota; Viridiplantae; Streptophyta; Magnoliopsida; Poales; Poaceae. The record is from RNAcentral.